UACGGAGGGUGCAAGCGUUAUCCGGAUUCACUGGGUUUAAAGGGUGCGUAGGUGGAGUGGUAAGUCAGUGGUGAAAUCUCCAAGCUUAACUUGGAAACUGCCGUUGAUACUAUCAUUCUUGAAUAUCGUGGAGGUAAGCGGAAUAUGUCAUGUAGCGGUGAAAUGCUUAGAUAUGACCCGGAACACCUAUUGCGAAGGCAGCAGGCUAAACAAAUAUUGACGCUGAGGCUCGAAAGCGUGGGGAUCAAACAGG
RNAcentral lists this ribosomal RNA (253 nucleotides) under uncultured bacterium. RNAcentral's name for it is "partial 16S ribosomal RNA". It matches the Rfam family "Bacterial small subunit ribosomal RNA", at positions 524 to 776 of the family's 1533-position model. The record is from RNAcentral.